This 468-nucleotide ribosomal RNA is filed under the name uncultured bacterium. Its description in RNAcentral is "partial 16S ribosomal RNA". It matches the Rfam family "Bacterial small subunit ribosomal RNA", at positions 28 to 507 of the family's 1533-position model. The record is from RNAcentral.
GACGAACGCUGGCGGCGUGCUUAACACAUGCAAGUCGAACGGAAAGGCCCUGCUUUUGUGGGGUGCUCGAGUGGCGAACGGGUGAGUAACACGUGAGUAACCUGCCCUUGACUUUGGGAUAACUUCAGGAAACUGGGGCUAAUACCGGAUAGGAGGUCCUGCUGCAUGGUGGGGGUUGGAAAGUUUCGGCGGUUGGGGAUGGACUCGCGGCUUAUCAGCUUGUUGGUGGGGUAGUGGCUUACCAAGGCUUUGACGGGUAGCCGGCCUGAGAGGGUGACCGGCCACAUUGGGACUGAGAUACGGCCCAGACUCCUACGGGAGGCAGCAGUGGGGAAUAUUGCACAAUGGGCGGAAGCCUGAUGCAGCAACGCCGCGUGCGGGAUGACAGCCUUCGGGUUGUAAACCGCUUUCGCCUGUGACGAAGCGUGAGUGACGGUAAUGGGUAAAGAAGCACCGGCUAACUACGUG